GAUAAACGCUGGCGGCGCACAUAAGACGUGCAAGUUGAACGGACUUAAUCGAAAUAUUUAUAUUUUGAAGCGGUUAGUGGCGGACUGGUGAGUAACGCGUAAGGAACCUGCCUAUUAGAGGGGAAUAACAGUGAGAAAUCAUUGCUAAUACCGCAUAUGCCAUAGAUAUCACAUGAUAACAGUGGGAAAGGAGCAAUCCGCUAAUAGAUGGCCUUGCGUCUGAUUAGAUAGUUGGUGGGGUAACGGCCUACCAAGUCGACGAUCAGUAGCCGGACUGAGAGGUUGAACGGCCACAUUGGGACUGAGAUACGGCCCAGACUCCUACGGGAGGCAGCAGUCGGGAAUAUUGCGCAAUGGAGGAAACUCUGUCGCAGUGACGCCGCGUAUAGGAAGAAGGUUUUCGGAUUGUAAACUAUUGUCGUUAGGGAAGAGAAAGGACAGUACCUAAGGAGGAAGCUCCGGCUAACUACGUG
RNAcentral lists this ribosomal RNA (473 nucleotides) under uncultured bacterium. Its description in RNAcentral is "partial 16S ribosomal RNA". It matches the Rfam family "Bacterial small subunit ribosomal RNA", at positions 28 to 507 of the family's 1533-position model. The record is from RNAcentral.